UCUCUCUUGUUGUUUCCUUUUUUUCUGGUUUGUUUUCUCUACGUUUUUUGGUCUUUUCUUUUUGUGCAGAUGUGCUUCUCUUCCCCCUCCGAUUUUUGUCUGUGUGUGUAAUAUAUGGAGUGUUGGGUGAGGGAGUUGUGUUACAUAUGUGUGCAUGGAGGAGUGAAUUGUGGGAUCAUAGGGAGAGAUUAAGGGGAAGUAGGAAACGGGGGU
RNAcentral lists this long non-coding RNA (213 nucleotides) under Capsicum annuum. RNAcentral's name for it is "long non-coding RNA (CANN_LNC019456)". Lineage: Eukaryota; Viridiplantae; Streptophyta; Magnoliopsida; Solanales; Solanaceae. The record is from RNAcentral.